ACCACACGAUCCAGCUAGUCAGGGGAUAUCCACAAGUAAUCUAGGUCUAAGCACCACGCUUACACCUAUACUACAACUCUAACCUAUAUGGUCCUAUAGAUUAGAAGUACUCAAAAGAGUUGUGAACCAGAACAUACAUGAUUAGUAAUUGCAUAAUGAAUUAGAAGUAGAUUACCAGAGUCAUCCCAUGAGCAAGCUUGAUUAGAGCUUGAUCAUGGCGAAGUACAACCGGAGGAAGAACCGACAGGCCGGCCUCUCCUCUAAUCCUCCUUCGCUCUCCAUCUCGCUACUAUCUAGAUCUACUCUAGUUUAGAGAAGAGAGGAGAGCUCUCAUCUCUAAACCCUAGCUUUUGCUCUGUCUAUGAAUAAUGAAUAAUGAUAAAGGGGUGUCUCCUCCAGGGGCCAGGAGGUCUGGUUUUAUAGUCCCCUCAAGUGAACCUGGGCCGUCGGAUCAAACCGACAUUGAUUGAACGGUUAUUCUUGAUCCUUUAGGUCGGUGGAGCAUAAUCCGCGAGAUUGAGCGUGAUUGGCCACAUGAGGUGGGUGGGCGCCCAGUAGGACAGGGCGGGCGCCCUGUCUCUGGCCCCGUUUUGCCUCCGCUUCGGUCUCGUGGCUUCUAGAGUCUUCUAGAUGUAAGAUAAUUGCGCAGCACGUUAAUAUCUUUACGUAAUCCCGACAUGUGGGCCUUUCUUCCAUAUUUCCUGAUAACCCCCUCCAGAAAUAGACAAACACCAAAACUCGUGGAAUUCUGUCAGAUAAAACCCUAAGUCUAGAUGUUGAUUUCAUUUGGAUCGUUUUCUUUAUUUAUUUGAUAAUUAAAUUUGAUACUUAAGGACCGUCAACAAAUUCCCCCAAGCUUACCUAUUGCUCGUCCCUGAGCAAGGAUAGAUUCAGCAAUGGAUCAGAAGUUGUUGCAAUAUCUUUAAAAAUUGACGGUACACAUGCUUUUUAAGUAAGUUCUCAUCUCUGAGUUAGAGUAAACUGUCAAGAACUAAAACUUACUUACUUUACCUUUCACCAUGGGACUUGUAACCGUCACUUCUGUCUUGAGUAGUUAAAAGAUAGAACAGUCUAGCCAAGUGCCAUGUCUCUUAUUCUUGAUCAGCUAUAGCUCUGGAGUUUUUGCAGAUUUUCAAAUAAAACUCAGAGAUUCCUUUGUAUGACUCUCUCAUAUCUCUCUUUUGUGGUAUUUCUGGAUCCUUACCAAGGCAGUGAUGGUAUAUGCCUUCUCUCAAAAUAUGUGGUAUUUGUGGUAUAAGGCAUAGUGACAUUGCCUUCUCUCGCACCCUACUCUAAUAAGGCUUUAAUAUCUGGAGCUCAUAGGUGGGAGAUAAAGUACACAUACUUACAAGACAUUUAUUAUGUAGUCAAACCAUGGAUCCAGAGAAACAAAUCAAUAAGCCAAAUCAAGAUGUGCAUGUGUGGCGAAUGAAUGGUGUAUAGUGAUGAUGGUGAUAACAAUGGUGAAAGUGUAAUUCUACUUUUGCUCUUAUGAGGGGAUACAUACCUUCCUUGUUUUUUGAAAUUUUAUGAGGAGAAUGAGAUGCUCUUCUUUUUCUUUUCUCUCAGAUGGGUAUCCUGUACCUCUAAUUCUACUAUCGGACACUUGUCCAUUUUUACCUCUCAUCUCACUCUUUUUCUUUUCUUUCGAGGUUCCGGGCACUUACCCCUUUUUAUUUCCUCGUUUAUUUUUUUUAUUUUCUCUUUUUUUUUUCUUCUUUUUUUCAGAGCACUCAUCUCUUAAGAUAAUAUAGCAAGUGGUAGUAGCAAGAUAACUUGAGCAUUUAUUUCACAAGGGAAAAACACAAAUGUUUUUGGCUAUUCUCUCCCGAAUUAGUAGAAUAUUUUUAGGUGAAACUGGAGAUGGAAAUGGAUGGAUAUAUGUGGAUGGUACUUCCGGAGUAGAAGUAGCAUAUAUGAGUGAACGUGCAAGUGAAUCUUGAUUUAACCACAUGACAAGCUCCUAAGGGUCUACACAGCUUGACCACACUCAAUGCUCAUAAGCAGUAAAUAGUAAAUGUGUGGCUCAAAGUCUAGCAAGCAUGUAUAUAUGGCUGUGGUAGGAAUUUAAAUUCUCAUCAUACAGGAACUCAUCAUGCAAUAUUUUUAAAGAUUUUUCAAAGAUAAAAUUCUCCAGAAUUCUAGCAUCUCUAGGAACAGAUAAACAGCAGCUCAACCUUCCCAUAUCAUAUCCGUUAACAACUUAGAUUUCAGAUCAAGUUUUCAUCCCACAAGUUUAGAUCUAGAGCAAGCUUUAAAUUAUAACAGUUAUGUCUAAACUUGAGAGAGAACUUCAAAUUUGCAAAUUAGGCAGAGCAACUAUUCAUCAUAUCCAUGCUAGAGUUUUAUUAUUAAGAUUCAGAUUAGCAUAGCCACUUUAUUUAUUUAUUAAACACACUAAGCAAAAGAUAUAUAUAAGCACAAAAUCUUUAUUUGGUUUUUCAUAGUUUAUGUAUUUUAAUAUUCUAAUAUAAUAUAAGUAUAAAGAUAGGUAGAAAUACUUAGCGAGAUAAAUGGGGGUGCUCUCCCCCAAGCUGAAUUUUGACGUAAUUUCUCUUGAUGUAGCUAGCAGGUGGCAGAGGUGUAUUUGAAAGUCACCAGCAUUCUGACAGCGAUUAGAAUGUCCUCCGUCUCCUAGUCUUCUUGAUUCUUAAAUUCUGUAGAGCUCAAAUAGACAACAAAGCUUGUGGAACUAAUUAAGUGUUAGCAUAAAUAUCUAGCCUUCAUCACGUUGAGCUUCCUCAAUAAAUAUUACUCCUUGUUUUUAUAUUUUUCUUUUAUAAAGUAGAAAAGAAAUAUUUAUUUUAUUUUUAUGCCACCACAGUGAAGGUACUUAUGGGUUUUAUGCCACUCGUAUACUCACAUGGGGCUUAGUAUUUUUUAACAUUUUUAUUUUCUUUUCAAGAUAGCAUGAUUAACUAAUAAUCUAUUUAAGGAAAGUAAAUAAUUAAAUGGAAAAGAGAAUGCAGAAAGGAUAAAUAUGGAUAACUACCAAUCUUACCUUUCGGCGAGGGUUCAAUGUUUUAAGUCUUCUUGUCAAGACUUCUCAUCGUGUUCAUUCUUUAGGUGCGUCAUUUGAUUCAGGUGCGGACCUUGACGUCUGCACCUUUUAAUACGGUGUCACCCAUGUUCUUCGUUUGCCCAGCAGUUCGAAGUGAGGUGUUAGCAGUAUCUUGCUCAGUGUGUUUGUGCUCGUAGUGUACCUGCUCAUAGAGACAAUGCAGAGAUCAAGUGCAUGGGCCCUGUUAGUGGAAAACACCAACAGAACCAAAAGUGUAUUUGUUCUUCUCUAACCUUAAGCAUAGUGAGCAAGACAAAGUUGAUGGAUGAUAAGUUCAUGAGUGUAGCACUUAUAACAUUUGUUAGAUCAGAUCGCUCAACCUUAUGGAAAGAUAAUCUAUCUAUGUAUAUGUCUUUUUCU
This 3421-nucleotide long non-coding RNA is filed under the name Sorghum bicolor (sorghum). Its description in RNAcentral is "long non-coding RNA (SBIC_LNC012189)". The record is from RNAcentral. Lineage: Eukaryota; Viridiplantae; Streptophyta; Magnoliopsida; Poales; Poaceae.